AGGACGAACGCUGGCGGCGUGCUUAACGCAUGCAAGUCGAGCGGUAAGGCCUUUCGGGGUACACGAGCGGCGAACGGGUGAGUAACACGUGGGUGAUCUGCCCUGCACUUCGGGAUAAGCCUGGGAAACUGGGUCUAAUACCGGAUAUGACCUCCUAUCGCAUGGGUGGGUGGUGGAAAGUAUUUAUCGGGUGCAGGGAGUCGGGGCCCGCGGCCUUAUCCGAGUCUUUGGUUGGGUGGGGUAAUCGGACCUACCGAAGGGCGACGGACGGUACGCCGACCGUGAGGAGGGUCGACCGGCCACGACGUGGGACUGACGACACCGGCCCAGACCGUCCGUACGGGGA
This 346-nucleotide ribosomal RNA is filed under the name uncultured soil bacterium. Its description in RNAcentral is "bacterial SSU rRNA". It matches the Rfam family "Bacterial small subunit ribosomal RNA", at positions 26 to 350 of the family's 1533-position model. The record is from RNAcentral.